CACGUAGGGCGCAAGCGUUGUCCGGAAUUAUUGGGCGUAAAGAGCUCGUAGGCGGUCUGUUGCGUCCGCUGUGAAAACUCGGGGCUUAACCCCGAGCCUGCAGUGGAUACGGGCAGACUAGAGGUAGGUAGGGGAGAAUGGAAUUCCUGGUGUAGCGGUGAAAUGCGCAGAUAUCAGGAGGAACACCAAUUGCGAAGGCAGCUCGCUGGGACGUUACUGACGCUGAGACGCGAAAGCGUGGGGAGCAAACAGG
This 253-nucleotide ribosomal RNA is filed under the name uncultured bacterium. RNAcentral's name for it is "partial 16S ribosomal RNA". It matches the Rfam family "Bacterial small subunit ribosomal RNA", at positions 524 to 776 of the family's 1533-position model. The record is from RNAcentral.